This 325-nucleotide unclassified non-coding RNA is filed under the name uncultured fungus. Its description in RNAcentral is "partial contains 5.8S ribosomal RNA and internal transcribed spacer 2". The stretch from base 1 to 133 matches the Rfam family "5.8S ribosomal RNA", at positions 22 to 154 of the family's 154-position model. The record is from RNAcentral. Lineage: Eukaryota; Fungi.
UGGUUCCAGCAUCGAUGAAGAACGCAGCGAACUGCGAUAAGUAAUGUGAAUUGCAGAAUUCAGUGAAUCAUCGAGUCUUUGAACGCACAUUGCGCCCCCUGGCAUUCCGGGGGGCAUGCCUGUUCGAGCGUCAUUACACUACUCAGGCUCUGCCUGGCGAUGGGCACGGGUCUCGCCAGACCGGCCCGGAAUCGAGCGGCGACCCCGCCAAUCCCCAAGCGCAUUGAGUGCAAACUCGCUUCGAGGGCUGCGGCGGUGGGUGCCGGGGAAGACGGGUGCCACGCACCCAGCGAUUGACCUCGGAUCAGGCAGGAAUACCCGCUGA